This 33-nucleotide ribosomal RNA is filed under the name Lactifluus uapacae. RNAcentral describes it as "partial 28S ribosomal RNA". The record is from RNAcentral. Lineage: Eukaryota; Fungi; Basidiomycota; Agaricomycetes; Russulales; Russulaceae.
CUGACCUCAAAUCGGGUGAGACUACCCGCUGAA